Molecule: ribosomal RNA, 468 nt
Filed under: uncultured bacterium
Lineage: Bacteria
Description: partial 16S ribosomal RNA
Rfam family: Bacterial small subunit ribosomal RNA
Source: RNAcentral
GACGAACGCUGGCGGCGUGCUUAACACAUGCAAGUCGAACGGAAAGGCCCUGCUUUUGUUGGUUGCUCGAGUGGCGAACGGGUGAGUAACACGUGUGUAACCUGCCCUUGUCUUUGGGAUAACUUCACGGAACUGGGGCUAAUACCGGAUAUGAGCUCCUGCUGCGUGGUGGGGGUUGGAAAGUUUCGGCGGUUGGGGAUGGACUCGCGGCUUAUCAGCUUGUUGGUGGGGUAGGUGCUUACCAAGGCUUUGACGGGUAGCCGGCCUGAGAGGGUGACCGGCCACAUUGGGACUGAGAUAGGGACCAGACUCCUACGGGAGGCAGCAGUGGGGAAUAUUGCACAAUGGUCGGAAGCCUGAUGCAGCAACGCCGCGUGCGGGAUGACGGCCUUCGGGUUGUAAACCGCUUUCGCCUGUGACGAAGCGUGAGUGACGGUAAUGGGUAAAGAAGCACCGGCUAACUACGUG